GAUGAAGAACGUAGCGAAAUGCGAUAAGUAAUGUGAAUUGCAGAAUUCAGUGAAUCAUCGAAUCUUUGAACGCACAUUGCGCCCGCUAGUAUUCUGGCGGGCAUGCCUGUCCGAGCGUCAUUACAACCCUCAGGCCCCCGGGCCUGGCGUUGGGGAUCGGCGGAAGCCCCCUGCGGGCACAACGCCGUCCCCCAAAUACAGUGGCGGUCCCGCCGCAGCUUCCAUUGCGUAGUAGCUAACACCUCGCAACUGGAGAGCGGCGCGGCCACGCCGUAAAACACCCAACUUCUGAAUGUUGACCUCGAAUCAGGUAGGAAUACCCGCUGAACUUAAGCAUAUCAAUAAGCGGAGGA
This 353-nucleotide unclassified non-coding RNA is filed under the name soil metagenome. RNAcentral describes it as "partial contains 5.8S ribosomal RNA, internal transcribed spacer 2, and large subunit ribosomal RNA". The stretch from base 1 to 120 matches the Rfam family "5.8S ribosomal RNA", at positions 35 to 154 of the family's 154-position model. The record is from RNAcentral.